Molecule: ribosomal RNA, 253 nt
Filed under: uncultured bacterium
Lineage: Bacteria
Description: partial 16S ribosomal RNA
Rfam family: Bacterial small subunit ribosomal RNA
Source: RNAcentral
UACGUAGGUGGCGAACGUUGUCCGGAUUUACUGGGCGUAAAGAGCGCGCAGGCGGCUGGUCAAGUCCGAUGUGAAAGCUCCCGGCUUAACUGGGAAAUUGCAUCGGAAACUGAUCGGCUGGAAGGUGGGAGAGGGUAGCGGAAUUCCCGGUGUAGUGGUGAAAUGCGUAGAUAUCGGGAGGAACACCAGUGGCGAAAGCGGCUACCUGGCCCAUUCUUGACGCUGAGGCGCGAAAGCUAGGGGAGCAAACGGG